Molecule: long non-coding RNA, 1972 nt
Organism: Gallus gallus (chicken)
Lineage: Eukaryota; Metazoa; Chordata; Aves; Galliformes; Phasianidae
Source: Ensembl
ACCCAUAGGGAAUCCCAUAUAACCCAUAGGGCACCCAUUACAACCCAUACGAAACCCCAUUUAACCCAUAGGGCAGCCAGUGUGACCCCAUAAGGAACCCAAUAUAACACAUAGGGCACCCAGUGUGACCCCAUAGCGCACCCCAUAUAAGCUGCAGGGCAGCCAUUGCAACCCAUAGGAGACCCCAUAGAACCCAUAGGAAUCCAAUAUAACCCAUAGGGCACCCAUAUCACCCAUAGGGCACCCAGUGCGACCCCAUAGGGCACCCAGUAUAACCCAUAGGAGACCCCAUAUAAUCCACAGGGCACCCAGUGUGACCCCAUAGCGCACCCCAUAUAAGCCACAGGGCAGCCAUUGCAACCCAUAGGAGACCCAUUGCAACCCAUAGGAGACCCAAUAUAACCCAUAGGGAAUCCCAUAUAACCCAUAGGGCACCCGGUGUGACCCCAUAGGAAACCCCAUAUAACCCAUAGGGCACCCAGUGUGACCCCAUAGCGCACCCCAUAUAAGCCACAGGGCAGCCAUUGCAACCCAUAGGAGACCCAUUGCAACCCAUAGGAGACCCCAUAUAACCCAUAGGAGACCCAAUAUAACCCAUAGGGCACCAUUACAACCCAUAGGGAAUCCAAUAUAACCCAUAGGAAACCCCAUAUAACCCAUAGGGCACACUGAGUGACCCCAUAGCGCACCCCAUAUAAGCCGCAGGGCAGCCAUUGCAACCCAUAGGAGACCCAUUGCAACCCAUAGGAGACCCAAUAUAAUCCAUAGGAGACACAAUAUAACCCAUAGGGAAUCCAAUAUAACCCAUAGGAAACCCCAUAUAACCCAUAGGGCACCCGGUGUGACCCCAUAAGGAACCCCAUAUAACCCAUAGGAAAUCCCAUAUAACCCAUAGGGCACCCAGUGUGACCCCAUAAGGAAACCCCAUAUAACCCAUAGGAAACCCCAUAUAACCCAUAGGGCACACUGAGUGACCCCAUAGCGCACCCCAUAUAAGCCGCAGGGCAGCCAUUGCAACCCAUAGGGAACCGAAUUGAACCCAUAGGGCACCCAUUGCGACCCCAUAGGGAAUCCAAUACAACCCAUAGGGCACCCAAUAUAACCUAUAGGAGACCCAGUAUAACCCACAGGAAACCCCAUAUAACCCAUAGGGAACCCCAUGUAACCCAUAGGGCACACCGAGUGACCCCAUAGCGCACCCCAUAUAAGCCGCAGGGCAGCCAUUGCAACCCAUAGGAGACCCAUUGCAACCCAUAGGAGACCCAAUAUAACCCAUAGGAGACGCAAUAUAACCCAUAGGGCAGCCAGUGUGACCCCACAGGGAACCCAAUAUAACCCAUAGGAGACCCCAUAUAAUCCACAGGGCACCCAGUGUGACCCCAUAGCGCACCCUAUAUAAGCCACAGGGCAGCCAUUGCAACCCAUAGGAGACCCAACAUAACCCAUAGGGAAUCUCAUAUAACCCAUAGGGCACCCAUCCCACCCCAUAGGACACCCAUUCCGCCCCAUAGAGCCCCAUUCCGCCCCAUAGAGCCCCAUUAGGCCCCAUAGAACCCCCAUCCCGCCCCAUAGAGCCCCAUAGAACCCCAUAGGUCACCCAUCCCGCCCCAUAGAGCCCCAUUGCGCCCCAUAGAGCCCCAUAGGUCACCCAUUCUGCCCCAUAGAGCCCCAUAGAACCCCAUAGGUCACCCAUCCCGCCCCAUAGAGCCCCAUAGAACCCCAUAGGACACCCAUUAUGACCCAUAGGACACCCAUCCCGCCCCAUAGAGCCCCAUAGAACCCCAUAGGACACCCAUCCCGCCCCAUAGAGCCCCAUAGAACCCCAUAGGACACCCAUUCCGUCCCAUAGGACCCCAUUCCGCCCCAUACAGCCCCCUUAGGCCCCAUAGAACCCCCAUCCCGCCCCAUAGGUCACCCAUCCUGCCCCAUAGGACCCCAUUCUGCCCCAUAGAACCCCCAUCCCGCCCCAUAG